This 346-nucleotide ribosomal RNA is filed under the name uncultured bacterium. RNAcentral describes it as "partial 16S ribosomal RNA". It matches the Rfam family "Bacterial small subunit ribosomal RNA", at positions 338 to 681 of the family's 1533-position model. The record is from RNAcentral.
CCUACGGGUGGCAGCAGUGAGGAAUAUUGGUCAAGGGGCGCUAGCCUGAACCAGCCAAGUAGCGUGAAGGAUGACUGCCCUAUGGGUUGUAAACUUCUUUUAUAGGGGAAUAAAGUGCAGUACGUAUACGGCUUUGCAUGUACCUUAUGAAUAAGGAUCGGCUAACUCCGUGCCAGCAGCCGCGGUAAUACGGAGGAGCCGAGCGUUAUCCGGAUUUAUUGGGGUUAAAGGGAGCGUAGGCGGGUUGUUAAGUCAGUUGUGAAAGUUUGCGGCUCAACCGUAAAAUUGCCGUUGAUACUGGCAUCCUUGAGUACAGUAGAGGUAGGCGGAAUUCGUGGUGUAGCGG